AGUGAACGCCGGCGGUAGGCCUAACACAUGCAAGUCGAACGGCAGCACAGUAAGAGCUUGCUCUUACGGGUGGCGAGUGGCGGACGGGUGAGGAAUACAUCGGAAUCUACUUUUUCGUGGGGGAUAACGUAGGGAAACUUACGCUAAUACCGCAUACGACCUACGGGUGAAAGCAGGGGAUCUUCGGACCUUGCGCGAUUGAAUGAGCCGAUGUCGGAUUAGCUAGUUGGCGGGGUAAAGGCCCACCAAGGCGACGAUCCGUAGCUGGUCUGAGAGGAUGAUCAGCCACACUGGAACUGAGACACGGUCCAGACUCCUACGGGAGGCAGCAGUGGGGAAUAUUGGACAAUGGGCGCAAGCCUGAUCCAGCCAUACCGCGUGGGUGAAGAAGGCCUUCGGGUUGUAAAGCCCUUUUGUUGGGAAAGAAAAGCAGCAGGUUAAUACCCCGCUAUUCUGACGGUACCCAAAGAAUAAGCACCGGCUAACUUCGUG
RNAcentral lists this ribosomal RNA (492 nucleotides) under uncultured bacterium. RNAcentral's name for it is "partial 16S ribosomal RNA". It matches the Rfam family "Bacterial small subunit ribosomal RNA", at positions 29 to 507 of the family's 1533-position model. The record is from RNAcentral.